AACCACAAUUUCCACCUGGUCCUC
Molecule: non-coding RNA, 24 nt
Filed under: Arabidopsis thaliana (thale cress)
Lineage: Eukaryota; Viridiplantae; Streptophyta; Magnoliopsida; Brassicales; Brassicaceae
Source: RNAcentral